UACGUAGGGUGCAGGCGUUUAAUCGGAAUUACUGGGCGUAAAGCGUGACGCAGGCGGUUUGCUAAGACAGGUGUGAAAUCCCCGGGCUUAACCUGGGAACUGCGCUUGUUACUGGCAGGCUUGAGUGUGGCAGAGGGGGGUGGAAUUCCGCGUGUAGCAGUGAAAUGCGUAGAUAUGCGGAGGAACACCGAUGGCGAAGGCAAUCCCCUGGACCUGUACUGACGCUCAUGCACGAAAGCGUGGGGAGCAAACAGG
RNAcentral lists this ribosomal RNA (255 nucleotides) under uncultured bacterium. Its description in RNAcentral is "partial 16S ribosomal RNA". It matches the Rfam family "Bacterial small subunit ribosomal RNA", at positions 524 to 776 of the family's 1533-position model. The record is from RNAcentral.